Molecule: ribosomal RNA, 253 nt
Filed under: uncultured bacterium
Lineage: Bacteria
Description: partial 16S ribosomal RNA
Rfam family: Bacterial small subunit ribosomal RNA
Source: RNAcentral
UACGUAGGUGGCAAGCGUUGUUCGGAUUCAUUGGGCGUAAAGCGCGCGCAGGCGGUCCCUUAAGUCUGAUGUGAAAGCCCACGGCUCAACCGUGGAGGGUCAUUGGAAACUGGGGGACUUGAGUACAGAAGAGAAGAGUGGAAUUCCAUGUGUAGCGGUGAAAUGCGUAGAGAUGUGGAGGAACACCAGUGGCGAAGGCGACUCUUUGGUCUGUAACUGACGCUGAGGCGCGAAAGCGUGGGGAGCAAACAGG